Molecule: long non-coding RNA, 2341 nt
Organism: Papio anubis (olive baboon)
Lineage: Eukaryota; Metazoa; Chordata; Mammalia; Primates; Cercopithecidae
Source: Ensembl
AGAUGGUUGCUUAUACCAGAAAGAAAAUGAGAACUACUAAUAAUACUUCAUUUUUAUUCAUCAAAGAGAAUAAUUACAGAACUGAAGAAGAGAGAGCAAACACGGUAAAAACAUAGUACAAACAAGAUAAAACAUACUCAAAGCAGAACAGAUGGAGGCAAGAGUCGUCAAAACUACUAAGAACCCAGACUUCAACAAAAAAGUAAAAUGGAUUUUAUCAUACUUGGAAAACCAACAAUUGCAGUCUGGAUUCAAGCAUCACUGUUUGAUGCACCCAACUUGAGUCAAAAAGAUGCUUCAAAUCCCACUAGGCUGGAGCCAUCUGAAGAUUUGCCUGAGACUGAAGGAUUCACUUCUACGAUGGCUCCUUCAGGUAACCAAGUUGGUGCUGGCUGUUGGUGGGAGGCCUCAGUUUCCCACCAUGUGAACCACUCCAUAAGAUUGGAGUGCCACAGUAUCUUUAAUGACUUCACCUUGGAAGUCACAUUCUAUCAUUUUUGCAAUAUUUUAUUGGUUAUUCAGUGUGGAAGGAGACUAUAUAAAAACAUGAAUAUCAGGAGGCUAGAAUCCUUGGGGCCAUCUUAGAUGCUUACUACCAUAGCAUUUUUACCUAUUUAUAUAUUUCAUUUACUCAGUUAGUACAUCUGUCAGUAUCACUUAAACCCAAUGCACUAGGCCAGGUGUUGUGUGGGGCAUAAAGAUAUGUAAGUUAUAAGUCCUGCUCUUUAAAAUUUAAUACCUGGUGAAAGGAAUUAAACACCCACCCCACAGCUGCAGUACAAGGCAAUAUAGGAUAAAUAUCAAGGAUACAGUGAUGUCAGUAAGCUCCUCAGGUGUUCAGAAGAAGAGGAGCAAUUUCUCCUUGGGGUUUCAGAACAAAUGGAACGUGAUCUGGGUCUCUAAGAAUAAAAUAGGAUCACUGUGGGCAAAGACAAGUGAAAAUACAUCUCACGCUGAGGAAGCAAUGUGAACAGGAUCAUGAAGUUGAGAAAGCAAGCUGAGUUCAGGGACCAGCAACCAGGAUACUUUAGAAUAGCACAUGUAGAAAGUGGAAGGAUAAAGGGAGGGAAAUGUAGGCAGAGACCAGUUUAUGCAAGUCCUUAUAAGCUAUGUUAAAAUUUUUGAGCCUACUCAGCAAAUAAUAGGAGCAGAUAAAAUUUCUGAGCUGGUAAGUAAUGGGAUAAAAAGGAGCUUUGAGCUUACUCUCCAAGGGGAAUCAGAGAGUGAGAAAUCAGAUACAGAGAAACAGGGUAGGAAGAACUUACAAUAAGGAGAGAAGGUAAUACAAUAAAUAUUGUAAGUAGAAUUAGAAAGGAAUAAUCUUGCAGGAGGAAUCUGAAGAAGUUAGCAAUUCAUUGGAUACCACAUUUGAGGAAGCUGUCCCAGUAACUUGAGAUUCGCUACCUAUUUUGGAGGAGAAGUUGGUUUAAAGAGGAAGAUGGUUUAAAGAAUGUGUUUUAGGACAUAUCAUUUAAAAAGAACUUGAGGAUUCCUUGUAUGCUCUCUUUUCCUUUUCCCGCACUGAGGUUUAAUCUCCCUGGGUAGUUGCUUCCUGAGAUGAAUCCUGGAGACCUGGGAAGUUGGGGAAUCCUGGCACUGAGGUGAGGAAAGAGGGCAGUGUGGGGAAGAACAGGGCCAGAACCUCAGGAAAUUGAAUUGAGUUAGUUGGCUCCAAAGUCUGUUGAGCUCAAUUGGUAAUCAUGAUGGUGGACAAGGGAUGGGAUUGUGAGAAAAUGAUGAACUGAAAAAUAAUAUAGUGGCUAAGGUCACGGAUUUUGAAGUCAUACGGGCAUGAUUAAAAAUCCAGGUCUCUAUUUCUAGCUGACCUUGGCGAAAUGCUUAAUUUGCAGGAAGCUCAGUUGCCUAACCUGUAAUAAAUAAGAUUCAUAAUAGGGUCUUGUGAGGUUUCAAUGAAAUGUUUGGCAUAUCAAGCUCUCAGCAUAGUGGCUGGCACAUAGAAAACACUCUGUAAUGAACAGUAGAUUUAUUGAGAUGGUGGGCUUUAUGCUACUACAAAAGGAGAUUGAUAGUGUCCCAGGAUCUUUUAGACCAGAUGAGUAGAAUUACUGAUCUCCUUUGGAAUCUGAUUAAUCCCUUACUGCAUACACCUGGGGGGAGGUGAGUACUCACAUGUGUUUGUAUUCUAAGGAGAUGUCAGGUAAAAGGGGUUGAAAAAAACCAUUGGCAAAUGUGCUAAUUAAUAAACACACCUUAAUGUUCAUUCUUAUUCUCCAUGAACUCUUAUCAACAGUUUUACAUAUAGUGUUCCUUUCACUCUAAAUUAACAAAUGAAUCCACACAUUAUCUACUUGUGGGUUUCUUCCCAAUAGUAAAGCUUAUU